GCAGUGUAUUCACAUAAAUUAAUAACAAUAAUAAAGAUACUGUAUUUUUUUCAAAAGAACCUCAGUCUUUUAACAAAUACAUUAAUUGGACUGAAAUAAACAGAGCAGUUAAUUUAAAGAUAAAUUAAGAAAAGAAAUUCUUUCUGUUGAAUUUGGAGAGUAAAGACAUGAGUCAGAAGAGGAAAGUAUGAGAAGAAGAUUUGAUUGAGUGAUUCAAAGACAGUAAAAGUAAAGGUUCCUUCCGUGUCUGGUGAUCCAUGGCCUAAAUGGGUGAUUGCUAGCAGACAUGUAUCUGGUCCCAAAGAAAACAGACAUUUUUGCUGUAUCAUGGUUUCUAUCAUCCUCAUGGGGACCAAAUUUUAUUAGAUUUAACUACCCUCAAGCUACUUUAGGUACUUUCCUCACUGCACAUGACUGUCUCCUGAUGCCAAAUAUUUCUUCAAUGCAUUCUCCACUUCAUCUCUCACCUUGUCGUCUUCUAACAUUGUGAGAAUGUGAACCCCGUUUAUGCAUCAUUUCUCAAGUUCUUUCACACCACCAAGUUUAAAAUGAACCUCAACACUUAAAUGCUUCUGCUGCUGCUGCUGGCCAUAGCAUUGUUGAAAUUACACGUAAAGAGGUACAGAUAGAAGGAAAGCGAUGAGCUACUUGGCAUUCCCAUUGCAAGUUGGGGAAAUCAUAACUAUUGAAGAAGCGUGAGCUGAGUGUACGACUGUGUGUGAGAUUGUGGUCCAAGUUCAAAAUCUGACACCCUGCUCCAUGAUUCAAAACUAGAAUGAUGUGAAAAAUUAAUGUACACACUAGAUCAAAUAGGUUGUAGAUUUUCUUAUGAAUGAGAGAACAGAAUGUGAAC
RNAcentral lists this small RNA (853 nucleotides) under Vigna angularis var. angularis. Its description in RNAcentral is "Non-protein coding transcript". Lineage: Eukaryota; Viridiplantae; Streptophyta; Magnoliopsida; Fabales; Fabaceae. The record is from RNAcentral.